Molecule: ribosomal RNA, 594 nt
Filed under: Rhantus consputus
Lineage: Eukaryota; Metazoa; Arthropoda; Insecta; Coleoptera; Dytiscidae
Description: SSU rRNA
Rfam family: Eukaryotic small subunit ribosomal RNA
Source: RNAcentral
CAUAUGCUUGUCUCAAAGAUUAAGCCAUGCAUGUCUCAGUACAAGCCACAUUAAGGUGAAACCGCGAAAGGCUCAUUAAAUCAGUUAUGGUUCCUUAGAUCGUACCCACAUUUACUUGGAUAACUGUGGUAAUUCUAGAGCUAAUACAUGCAAACAGAGUUCCGACCGGAGACGGGAGGAAUGCUUUUAUUAGAUCAAAACCAAUCGGCGUCGGGCCUCGGUCCGUUCGCCGCUCAACUUGGUGACUCUGAAUAACUUUCGGCUGAUCGCACGGUCUCGCACCGGCGACGCAUCUUUCAAAUGUCUGCCUUAUCAACUGUCGAUGGUAGGUUCUGCGCCUACCAUGGUCGUAACGGGUAACGGGGAAUCAGGGUUCGAUUCCGGAGAGGGAGCCUGAGAAACGGCUACCACAUCCAAGGAAGGCAGCAGGCGCGCAAAUUACCCACUCCCGGCACGGGGAGGUAGUGACGAAAAAUAACGAUACGGGACUCAUCCGAGGCCCCGUAAUCGGAAUGAGUACACUUUAAAUCCUUUAACGAGGAUCAAUUGGAGGGCAAGUCUGGUGCCAGCAGCCGCGGUAAUUCCAGCUCCAAU